UGUAACAAGAAAGGUGACAGUGUGUGUGAGAUAUGUCACCAGUUUAUUUAUUGCCAAAUGUUUGUUCAUUGCAGCCAUUCAAACCAGGCUAUACAGCACCUCCUCCUAUGUUUCAACUUGGGAGUAUUCCAAUGAACUUUAGACUAUGAUGAGUAUGCUGCUUUUGAAUCAAGAAGUCUGUUUUGCUGUCAUUCUGUUGCUGCAAUUGUGAUUAAUCUCCUUCUCUCUCUCUCUGUGGG
Molecule: non-coding RNA, 239 nt
Organism: Camellia sinensis
Lineage: Eukaryota; Viridiplantae; Streptophyta; Magnoliopsida; Ericales; Theaceae
Source: RefSeq, a predicted model, not a curated record